Molecule: ribosomal RNA, 253 nt
Filed under: uncultured bacterium
Lineage: Bacteria
Description: partial 16S ribosomal RNA
Rfam family: Bacterial small subunit ribosomal RNA
Source: RNAcentral
GACGUAGGGCGCAAGCGUUGUCCGGAUUUAUUGGGCGUAAAGGGCGCGUAGGCGGCUGCGCAAGUCUCGGGUGAAAUCCCUCGGCUCAACCGAGGAACUGCCCUGGAAACUGCGCGGCUCGAGGCCGGGAGAGGAUGGUGGAAUUCCCAGUGUAGCGGUGAAAUGCGUAGAUAUUGGCUGGAACACCGGUGGCGAAAGCGGCUCUCUGGCCCGGUUCUGACGCUGAGGCGCGAAAGCGUGGGGAGCAAACAGG